Long non-coding RNA from Myxocyprinus asiaticus (Chinese sucker), 519 nucleotides. RefSeq lists it as uncharacterized. Lineage: Eukaryota; Metazoa; Chordata; Actinopteri; Cypriniformes; Catostomidae. The record is from RefSeq and is a predicted model, not a curated record. The transcript is spliced from 3 exons.
AAGGUGUUCUGGGUGGUUGUUAGGCCAUUGCUAUGUGGUUGGUAAUGUGUUCUGGGUGGUUGUUAGGCCAUUGCUAUGUGGUUGGUAACGUGUUCUUGGUGGUUGUGAGGCCAUUGCUAAGUGGUUGGUAAGGUGUUCUGGGUGGUUGUUAGGCCAUUGCUAAGUGGUUGGUAAGGUGUUCUGGGUGGUUGUGAGGCCAUUGCUAAGUGGUUGGUAACGUGUUCUGGGUGGUUGUUAGGCCAUUGCUAUGUGGUUGGUAAUGUGUUCUGGGUGGUUGUUAGGCCAUUGCUAUGUGGUUGGUAACGUGUUCUUGGUGGUUGUGAGGCCAUUGCUAAGUGGUUGGUAAGGUGUUCUGGGUGGUUGUUAGGCCAUUGCUAAGUGGUUGGUAAGGUGUUCUGGGUGGUUGUUAGGCCAUUGCUAUGUGGUUGGUAAUGUGUUCUGGGUGGUUGUUAGGCCAUUGCUAUGUGGUUGGUAACGUGUUCUUGGUGGUUGUGAGGCCAUUGCUAAGUGGUUGGUAAG